Molecule: long non-coding RNA, 4493 nt
Organism: Homo sapiens (human)
Lineage: Eukaryota; Metazoa; Chordata; Mammalia; Primates; Hominidae
Exons: 4
Source: RefSeq, a predicted model, not a curated record
UCUUUGCCUUUGCCUCUUUCCUCUAUCUGGGUAGCUUUUCCUUGUCCUUCAGGUAUCAACCUAUGUUAUCUCCUCCACCAGAAAGCCCAUGAUAUUGACAUAAAAGUGGGUAGAUGUCCCUUCUCUGUGUUCCCGUAGUGCCCUGCUGUAUACCUGUCAUGGUAUCUAUGACUCUAUAUGGACAUUGCCUGCCUGUCUGUUUUUUAGGUUAGAGUUUAUGACUGUUGAGAGGUGGACCAUGCCAUCUUCAUCUUGUAAUUCCAGUGCUGGUUCUAGUACCUUAGCAUGUGGCUGUUGAUUACAUGAAUGAAGACUGAAAAAGCUCUGAUAUUUAAACACAAUUAGAAUUAAUGCCAUGUGUAAAUUAUUAAAUAGUAAUUUUGUAUUGUAAAUGCACAUACAUAUUUCUCAUUCUUAUUAACUCUGAUAAAGUUCUCAAGUCUUUAGUUUUUAAACUCACACUUAGUUAACUGAAGUGUUUUAGGUAAAGAACAAAAUUCUUUAUUUUUCUUUCCAGCUGUUGCUGUAUUGGACACUUGCUCCCAUCUACUUUCUUCUCUAGAAUCCACGGAAGAUGUUCUAAGCUCAGCUUGUAUUUUCUCUGCGCCAGCUCUGGAAUGAGUCAUUUUUUUUAGAAGCAGAGGUGGAGCCACUGAGGAAGCACAGACUCCCAUGGUGGUGGGUUGUGUCACCCCACAAUGUCACUGUUGCUGAGUCCCCAUCGCCUCUGUGUUGUGGAGCAGUUAGAGACACACAGCAGUGUCUGUGAGUAGCUCUGCGUGAAGGACCAUUUUCUAGAUGAGAGGCACAUCUCAACACAGCUCACUGAUCAGAUUCAGCAAUUCCAUUCUGCAUCUUUUCUGAUCACCUCCGUGACCACACAGGACAACCCCAUCAGGGCCCUGUCACCAGGCCCAGUCUAGCUCCAUGAUAACCAAGACACAGGUCCAGAGACAAUCGUCCUACAUUGUGCCUGCAUCUGACCCCCCUUGGUAGGUAGUGACCAGCACAACAUGGAAGAAGCCAGGGCAGCAUGCAGCCAGCUGCUCUGCAGCCCCAAAUGGCUCCUGGGCCUUGGGAAGUCAUUCAUAAAGGGGAAGCUGGUCACUUUGAGGUCCCUGAAGGGAAGGGUGAACGUGCAUCCCAACAGCCCUGGCAGCCAGCAGCAUGCCAUACAUAUUCUUACCCAACGUGUGUGACAGAGGUCCCCUCCUGGGGCACAAGUCCCAUACCUAAAGCAUCCUGUCCCAGUUGGACCUCAUCCUGAGCCCUGGGAGGGGAGGGGAACCAUGGGCCCCCCUGCAGCAGCCAGGAUUACCACCCAGGGGACUCGGCCUUCUGUGGCCCUGGCCAGACUUAGAAUUUGGCCCAAGACAAACUUACUCGGAGCAGCUUCUCAGUACCUGGGGCCUGUGUAUGCCAGGCAAGGCCAAGCUGGCUCAAAGAGCAACCAGCCACCUCUGCAAUGGUGUGCCAGGAGCAGGUGGAGCAGUCACCAACCUCACCCACUCAAGGAAACAGGGAUGGCCAGUUUCCCACAGUCUGAGUGACCACCACCUGACAGCUGAUGGAGUGGAGGCCUGAGGAAAAGCAGAUGGCACUGGGGCUCCACCUCCAGGGCAGAAUAACUGAUUUACCCUGACUGGCAGGGAGUGACGCUGGUGGCUGGUCCACUGGCUCCUGGCACACCCUUGCAGAGGUGGGUGGUUGUUCUUUGAGCCAGCUUGGCUUUGCCUGGCAUGCACAGGCCUCAGUGCAACAAAUGUGCUGCAAAUGGAGCCACAUAGAGGAAAUGAGCAGCAGGCUCAGAACUGGGGUGUGUGCUGCCUCUGGGGCUCCAGUCCAAGCAUCGGGGCUUCUACAGCACUGUGGGCUUCUCGGGUGCCAAGAGGCAGACCACAAGCCAUCUUGAGGAGGACUCUGGUAAGAGCUUCCUUGUGUAUGUGGAUGAUGUCCAGAAUGUUGGUCUGGUGUCCCUGAGACAGCACUAACAGGUCCAUGACUGGGUCCAGAUCCUGCCUGGGCUGAUGGGCAAAGAGCUCACUGACAGUGUGGAAGGCAUCUAUGGUGAAGUGGAUCUAUGUUCAAGUGCAGAAAGGGCCCAGUCUUGUAGAUGAACCACACAGCCAGCUUCUGGAUGCAGGUGCAGUGCCACAUUUUUUGUCACUUCCUGAUGUGCCCCACCAGCACUGAAGAGAUAGCCUGGAGACAGGGCAAGAGGAAGGCUGAGAAGGAUGAGAUGGUGAGUGCCAGAUUCUUCCUGGCCCUGAGCCCACCCCCAGUGUGACACUGAACUUUUAGGAGUGGGAGAGCAAGAUUGACAGCUUCAAGUGCUUCACCAAGAAGAUGGACAACAGGGCACUCAGCUCAACUUCACAGCCAAUGAGUGGUGGCAGGCUUUGAGAAAGAGCAUCAGAAGCCUGACAGUUCUUCUUCAGCCUCAGCCAGGCCUUGGAGCUGGACCAGGCCAUCCACUUCAGUAUAGAUGCCUUCCACUCUGUCAGUGAGCUCUUUGCCAGUCAGCCCAGGAAGGACCUGGACCCAGCCAUGGACCUGUUAGUGCUGUCUCAGGGACACCACACCAACAUCCUGGACAUCAUCCACAUACACAAGGAAGCUCUUACCAAAGUCAUGGAGAGCAGGCAACAUGUGGCAGAAGGGAAGACAGAGGUGCAGAGGCUGAUGACGUCAGAAUCACAGGAACAGGAUUUCUUUGGCCACUUUGGCUGAAAUUCACCACUUCCAUCCAAUUCCAGUGAGAGACAUGGACUCACAGAUGCAGCAUUUCUUGCAACAAGAUAUACUACUUUUUCAAAAAGUCACCCAGGAAUUGAUAGUGUUGAAUGACUCGAUACUCGAUCGUGGACGGUUUCCAGUUCAAGGAUACUUUCUACAGCAGAAUAAUAACACUAGCAAAGAGCUAGUACAAGGAUGGUUUUGUGCUCAACUGAAAUCCAGCUGAAUACAGAAUUGUAUAGGAAACAGUUAAUAUGGUGAUAGAAUAGAAACAGUAGCAAUCAUGAACUAAAUCAUACUAUGAAUGCCUAAACUACUGCUGUAACUUUUGGAAAAAUGAUAAUACCACUUUAUUGCUUUUUGAAGUAUGAAUAUUUUAGUGUAUAUGCUCUAGACUUCAAACUCUAUAAAGAGUCUCAAAGAAGUUGGCUGGAUAAAGCCUGCUGUGGAUGUCUUUAUAUUCAAAGAUUGAUGAUGCAAUUUGAAUAUAUGUCCCCACCGAAUCUCAUGUUGAAUUAUAUUUCCUAAUGUGGAAGGUGGAUCCUGGUAUAAGGUGAUUGAAUUAUGAAGGCAAAUUUCUCAUGAAUGGUUCAGCACCAUCCCCUUGUACCAUCCUCACAAUAAUGAGUGACUUCUCAUGAGAUGUAGUCACUGAAAUCUCUAUAUCACCUCCCCACUCUCCGUGUUUUCCCCUUGCCAUGUGAGACAAUUGAUUCUUUCUUUGCCUUCCAUGAUUAUUGAAAGAUUUCUGAGGCCUAGAAGCAGAAGCACUGUGCUUAGAACCAUGAGCCAAUUAAACCUCUUUUUCAAAAUAAAUCAUACAGGAAAUGGCAAAUGAGGACUGGAGCGUUGCUAUAAAGAUACCUGGAAAUGUUGAAGCAGCUUUGGAACCAGGUAAUGGACGGAGGUUGGAAGAGUUUGGAGGGCUCAAAAGAAGACAGAUGAGAAAACUUUUGGACCAUCUUAGAGUCUGGUUCAAUGGUUGUGACAAAAAUCCUGACAGAAACAUGGACAGUGAAGGCCAGGCUGAGGAGGUCUCAGAGAGAAAUAAGAAGCUUUCUGGAAAAUGUCUUCCUUUUGGAAAUGGAAAGCUUACACAAUGCCUGCUUUUUAUUUCAGAGACUCAUAGGCAAAAGAGACUGUAGCCUUGACCCAGAUGAGACUUUGGACUUUGUAACUUUGAGUUAAUCCUGAAAUGAGUUAAGACUUUGGGAGACUGCUGGCAAGGCAUGUUUGUAUUUUGCAAUGUGAGAAGGACAUGAGAUUCAUUGGGUCAAGGACAGAAUAAUACGGUUUUUGUCUAUGUCCCUACCAAAACUCAUGUGGAAUUACAUUUUGUAAUGUUACAGGCAAGGUCUAGGUGGAAAAAGAUUUAGUCAUAAAAUGGUGCAGGUAGACACUUCACGAAUGAUAAAGAACCAUCACCUUGAUGCUAUCCUCCUGAUAAUGAGUGAGUUCCCAUGAGAUCUUGUUGUUUAACAGAUCUCAUCCUCCUGCUCCUGCUUUAGGAGACAUCUCAUUGUCCCUUGGCUUUCUGAUAUAAUGAGGAGGCUUCCUGAUUCCUCCCAGAAACAGAAGACACUAUACUUCCUUCACAGCUUGCAGAACCAUGAGUCAAUUACACCUCUUUUAUUUACAAUAAUACAGAAAAGUAGAACUGCAGAGAGGAGCUGUGAAAUGCCUUCAAGGCCUUUUUCCCUUUGUUUGGGCUAUUAGCACAGGGCUUCUUUAUAUGCAAAUUUCUGAAAUCUUCUUGA